Molecule: transfer RNA, 75 nt
Filed under: Bacteroidota bacterium
Lineage: Bacteria; Pseudomonadati; Bacteroidota
Also listed under: 5 other names
Description: tRNA-Val
Rfam family: tRNA
About the family: Transfer RNA (tRNA) molecules are approximately 80 nucleotides in length. Their secondary structure includes four short double-helical elements and three loops (D, anti-codon, and T loops).
Source: RNAcentral
GGGUGGUUAGCUCAGCUGGUUCAGAGCACCUGCCUUACAAGCAGGGGGUCACUGGUUCGAAUCCAGUACCACCCA